This 625-nucleotide ribosomal RNA is filed under the name uncultured bacterium. RNAcentral's name for it is "bacterial SSU rRNA". It matches the Rfam family "Bacterial small subunit ribosomal RNA", at positions 43 to 668 of the family's 1533-position model. The record is from RNAcentral.
CAGGCCUAACACAUGCAAGUCGAACGAAGCACUUUCUUUAGAUUCUUCGGAUGAAGAAGACUGUGACUGAGUGGCGGACGGGUGAGUAACGCGUGGGCAACCUGCCCUGUACAGGGGGAUAACAGUUAGAAAUGACUGCUAAUACCGCAUAAGCGCACGAGGACGCAUGUUCUUGUGUGAAAAACUCCGGUGGUACAGGAUGGGCCCGCGUCUGAUUAGGUAGUUGGUGGGGCAGCGGCCUACCAAGCCGACGAUCAGUAGCCGACCUGAGAGGGUGACCGGCCACAUUGGGACUGAGACACGACCCAAACUCCUACGGGAGGCAGCAGUGGGGAAUAUUGCACAAUGGGGGAAACCCUGAUGCAGCGACGCCGCGUGAAGGAAGAAGUAUUUCGGUAUGUAAACUUCUAUCAGCAGGGAAGAAACUGACGGUACCUGACUAAGAAGCACCGGCUAAAUACGUGCCAGCAGCCGCGGUAAUACGUAUGGUGCAAGCGUUAUCCGGAUUUACUGGGUGUAAAGGGAGCGUAGACGGAGAGGCAAGUCUGAAGUGAAAGCCCGGGGCUCAACCCCGGGACUGCUUUGGAAACUGCAGUUCUAGAGUGCCGGAGNGGUAAGCGGAAUA